UCUUGAGAAUUGCCGUUUAACAAUAGGU
RNAcentral lists this non-coding RNA (28 nucleotides) under Bombyx mori (domestic silkworm). The record is from RNAcentral. Lineage: Eukaryota; Metazoa; Arthropoda; Insecta; Lepidoptera; Bombycidae.